RNAcentral lists this ribosomal RNA (253 nucleotides) under uncultured bacterium. RNAcentral describes it as "partial 16S ribosomal RNA". It matches the Rfam family "Bacterial small subunit ribosomal RNA", at positions 524 to 776 of the family's 1533-position model. The record is from RNAcentral.
UACGUAGGGUGCGAGCGUUAAUCGGAAUUACUGGGCGUAAAGCGUGCGCAGGCGGUUUUUUAAGCCAGGUGUGAAAUCCCCGGGCUCAACCUGGGAAUGGCAUUUGGGACUGCAAGGCUGGAGUGCGGCAGAGGAGACUGGAAUUCCUGGUGUAGCAGUGAAAUGCGUAGAUAUCAGGAGGAAUACCGAUGGCGAAGGCAGGUCUCUGGGCUGACACUGACGCUCAUGCACGAAAGCGUGGGGAGCAAACAGG